Oncorhynchus keta (chum salmon) is the source of this 1332-nucleotide long non-coding RNA. RefSeq lists it as uncharacterized. Lineage: Eukaryota; Metazoa; Chordata; Actinopteri; Salmoniformes; Salmonidae. The transcript has 2 exons. The record is from RefSeq and is a predicted model, not a curated record.
CACACCCACAAAUGUCAAAAUUCGCUAUAUCGUAAAAGUUUCAUGAAUGUAUUUCGUUGCUUUUUGUCUUCAUUUAAGGUUAGGUAUAUGGUUAUGUUUAUAGUCUGAUUUUAACAAGGUAAAUUAUAGAAAUAGGUGGGGUUUAGCCAUAAUUAUGACUUUGCCGAUCUGGUGACUAGUAACAACCGAUCACCACCGCAACCCACUUCCCGACCAUUAAAGAACAUUGCUCUAUUCCACAGUUAGUGUCUGGUCUCCUCAGAACUAUUUCAACCCGCACUGCUCUGGCACUGCGGGGACCCAUGAUCACCCAGAGGGCCAGUGUCUUCACCAGACCGGCGAAAGACCCUCUCGGCCCUCCGAGACCAUCAUCGGACUGGGACUGUUCGCACUGGCUAUCCUGGGACCUUCCGGUUGGAUUCUCACCAACAUUGAGGACUACAAGAAGAAAGAUUAACUUAACAUGGACUCAUGUUAAUGGAUGUUCCGUACAUUCUCUACUUAUUCAAGACCCUCCUGGGAUCAUCAUUACUUCAAGAACUCCGUGGAACAAAUCCCCAACCUCUAUGAACUACCUCUCCAUCUCCACUUUACUCUCCUCACUCCUAGUUUACUCUCCUCACUCCUAGUUUACUCUCCUCACUCCUAGUUUACUCUCCUCACUCCUAGUUUACUCUCCUCACUCCUAGUUUACUCUCCUCACUCCUAGUUUACUCUCCUCACUCCUAGUUUACUCUCCUCACUCCUAGUUUACUCUCCUCACUCCUAGUUUACUCUCCUCACUCCUAGUUUACUCUCCUCACUCCUAGUUUACUCUCCUCACUCCUAGUUUACUCUCCUCACUCCUAGUUUACUCUCCUCACUCCUAGUUUACUCUCCUCACUCCUAGUUUACUCUCCUCACUCCUAGUUUACUCUCCUCACUCCUAGUUUACUCUCCUCACUCCUAGUUUACUCUCCUCACUCCUAGUUUACUCUCCUCACUCCUAGUUUACUCUCCUCACUCCUAGUUUACUCUCCUCACUCCUAGUUUACUCUCCUCACUCCUAGUUUACUCUCCUCACUCCUAGUUUACUCUCCUCACUCCUAGUUUACUCUCCUCACUCCUAGUUUACUCUCCUCACUCCUAGUUUACUCUCCUCACUCCUAGUUUACUCUCCUCACUCCUAGUUUACUCUCCUCACUCCUAGUUUACUCUCCUCACUCCUAGUUUACUCUUCAGCCCUUUGGAAAACCGUCUGCAAAUAGAAUGGCUGCACAACAUCUCAAGAAUUGUGAAUUUUAAUUGAACAAGGAGUAUGCUACAAUAAUAAAACAUAAUUCAACUUGAAAU